UGCGUAGGCUGUGCGGAAAGUUAGGUGUGAAAUCCCCCGGCUCAACCGGGGAAUUGCGCUUAAAACUACCGUGCUAGAGGAAUACAGAGGUGAGCGGAACUUCGGGUGGAGCGGUGAAAUGCGUUGAUAUCCGAAGGAACACCGGUGGCGAAAGCGGCUCACUGGGUAUUUUCUUGACGCUGAUGCACGAAAGCUAGGGGAGGCAAAACGG
Molecule: ribosomal RNA, 211 nt
Filed under: uncultured bacterium
Lineage: Bacteria
Description: partial 16S ribosomal RNA
Rfam family: Bacterial small subunit ribosomal RNA
Source: RNAcentral